AUUGAACGCUGGCGGCAGGCUUAACACAUGCAAGUCGAACGAGUGGCGAACGGUUGAGUAACGCAUCGGAACGUACCGAGUAAUGGGGGAUAACAGUCGGAAAGGACAGCUAAUACCGCAUAUAUUUCUAGCGGCCGAUGCCUAAUUAGCUGGUUGGCGGGGUAAAGGCCCACCAAGGCGACGAUCAGUAGCUGGUCUGAGAGGGUGAUCCGCCACACUGGGACUGAGACACGGCCCAGACUCCUACGGGAGGCAGCAGUAGGGAAUUUUGGACAAUGGGCGCAAGCCUGAUCCAGCCAUGCCGCGUGUGUGAAGAAGGCCUUCGGGUUGUAAAGGACUUUUGUCAGGGAAGCGGUACCUGAAGAAUAAGCACCGGCUAACUACGUGCCAGCAGCCGCGGUAAUUC
This 406-nucleotide ribosomal RNA is filed under the name uncultured bacterium. RNAcentral describes it as "partial 16S ribosomal RNA". It matches the Rfam family "Bacterial small subunit ribosomal RNA", at positions 30 to 526 of the family's 1533-position model. The record is from RNAcentral.